GAUGAAGAACGUAGCGAAAUGCGAUAAGUAAUGUGAACUGCAGAAUUCAGUGAAUCAUCGAAUCUUUGAACGCACAUUGCGCCCGCCAGUAUUCUGGCGGGCAUGCCUGUUCGAGCGUCAUUACAACCCUCAGGCCCCCGGGCCUGGCGUUGGGGAUCGGCGGAGCCCCCCGUGGGCACACGCCGUCCCCCAAAUGCAGUGGCGGUCCCGCCGCAGCUUCCAUCGCGUAGUAGCUAACACCUCGCGACUGGAGAGCGGCGCGGCCACGCCGUAAAACACCCAACUCUUCUGAAGUUGACCUCGAAUCAGGUAGGAAUACCCGCUGAACUUAAGCAUAUCAAUAAGCGGAGGA
This 352-nucleotide unclassified non-coding RNA is filed under the name soil metagenome. Its description in RNAcentral is "partial contains 5.8S ribosomal RNA, internal transcribed spacer 2, and large subunit ribosomal RNA". The stretch from base 1 to 120 matches the Rfam family "5.8S ribosomal RNA", at positions 35 to 154 of the family's 154-position model. The record is from RNAcentral.